This 679-nucleotide long non-coding RNA is filed under the name Salmo salar (Atlantic salmon). RNAcentral describes it as "lncRNA (ENSSSAG00000108902.1)". The record is from RNAcentral. Lineage: Eukaryota; Metazoa; Chordata; Actinopteri; Salmoniformes; Salmonidae.
AGCCUAUUCCUGCUCUUUUCCCAAGGAUUAUCAAACACAUUUGGUGUGUGUCAUCAUAGUGGUCUCUGAUUUGUGGUCAGACUCGCUCAGAUGGAACAAACUUAAGCCUUUUUUCAAUGUUGAUUUGAAUGUCAUUGAGAAAACAAAGCAGUGUGAAAUAUUUUUUUUCCGCAAACAUCCUUUCUGAAUUUAAACGUAUCUGUAAUCUGAUGACAAUAUUUUUACUGUGUUUAACAGGUGUAAAGAAUUCCCCCAGCACGAAUGAGCACGUCCUCAUGAGUGCAUUCAAGGAUCAACAGCGGGAUGACAUCUACAACCUGAAGGAAAAGAUGAAAACCGUGCAGGAAAGGAGUGAUGAUGCAAAGGUAUAUGUGGACCUGCUGAAGAAAGACCGACAAUGAAAACAAAAUUCACAAUGAUUUUAAGUCAAAAUGUUUCUCUUAUUGCAAUUUCACAAAUGUAUGUUAUAGCUGAAAUGUGACAUUUUACUUGUUACAGAGACAAUGCACUCCUCUUAGGGAGUGUAACUUUCCUUUGUGGCUGUGAAAAUAUCUUGUUUCAGUUCCUUUUUAUGUCUGUUAUCCCCACAGAUCAACCCGACGGUAGCUUUUUCAGUUGGACUUGAUGAAGUUUGUACCUUUUUAUUAUACAGUGCAUUCAGACCGUUGACUUUUUCCAC